Etheostoma spectabile (orangethroat darter) is the source of this 119-nucleotide long non-coding RNA. RefSeq lists it as uncharacterized. NCBI's taxonomy places the organism in Eukaryota, Metazoa, Chordata, Actinopteri, Perciformes, Percidae. The transcript has 3 exons. The record is from RefSeq and is a predicted model, not a curated record.
AAAGAAAUAUAAAAUGUAUUUCAGUGUUUGCCCCAGUGUAUUGCAAGCCCGGUGGCCCACCAGGCCUCAGUUGCCCCCCAUCAGGCCUAAGCUGGAAAUUAUUUUGGUGUGUAUUUUUU